Molecule: ribosomal RNA, 257 nt
Filed under: uncultured prokaryote
Description: partial 16S ribosomal RNA
Rfam family: Bacterial small subunit ribosomal RNA
Source: RNAcentral
UACGGAGGAUGCAAGCGUUAUCCGGAUUUAUUGGGUUUAAAGGGUGCGCAGGUUGUUUGAUAAGUCAGUGGUGAAAGUCUGUCGCUUAACGGUAGGAUUGCCAUUGAUACUGUUGGACUUGAAUAUGGAUGAGGUAGGCGGAAUGUGUAGUGUAGCGGUGAAAUGCAUAGAUAUUACACAGAACACCGAUUGCGAAGGCAGCUUACUAAUCCGUCAUUGACGCUGAGGCACGAAAGCGUGGGGAUCAAACAGGAUUA